AGCAGCCGCGGUAAUUCCAGCUCCAAUAGCGUAUAUUAAAGUUGUUGCAGCUAAAAAGCUCGUAGUUGAACUUCGGGGUUUACUCAUUGGUCAGGCUUAAUUGUCUGUACUGGUGAGAUGAAUCUCUACCUUCUGAGGAACUUUCAUGUCAUUUAUUUGGUGUGAUUGGAAAUCAGGACUGUUACUUUGAAAAAUUAGAGUGUUUAAAGCAGGCUAACGUCUGAAUACAUUAGCAUGGAAUAAUGAAAUAGGACGGAUUGAUUCUAUUUCGUUGGUUUCUAGGGUCACCGUAAUGAUUAAUAGGGGUAGUUGGGGGCAUUAGUAUUCAAUUGUCAGAGGUGAAAUUCUUGGAUUUAUUGAAGACUAACUACUGCGAAAGCAUUUGCCAAGGAUGUUUUCAUUAAUCAAGAACGAAAGUUAGGGGAUCGAAGACGAUCAGAUACCGUCGUAGUC
RNAcentral lists this ribosomal RNA (453 nucleotides) under uncultured Diversispora. Its description in RNAcentral is "SSU rRNA". It matches the Rfam family "Eukaryotic small subunit ribosomal RNA", at positions 569 to 1025 of the family's 1831-position model. Lineage: Eukaryota; Fungi; Glomeromycota; Glomeromycetes; Diversisporales; Diversisporaceae. The record is from RNAcentral.